Molecule: long non-coding RNA, 821 nt
Organism: Macadamia integrifolia
Lineage: Eukaryota; Viridiplantae; Streptophyta; Magnoliopsida; Proteales; Proteaceae
Exons: 2
Source: RefSeq, a predicted model, not a curated record
GUAGUAUUUCCCUAACUCGACCUUUCUUGAAGCCAACCCUAAGAACAACUGUUCUUGGGGCUGGAGAAGCUGGUAGAGAAAUCUGGAUCAAGGGACUUAGAAGGAAAAUAGGGAUGUUACAUUGUCUAAUGGACUUCCACAUUGCUUGGUCUUCUACAAUAUGGCAGAUCUAGAAGGCCAGAAACAAUGUGGUAUUCAACCAUGGGGAUUCCAUCCUUCAUAGUACAAUGACUUGCAUUGUUGCUUCUAUUGUGGAGGGGAACAUCUUUCUAGCAUCUCAGAGUACAAAUGUUGGGUGUCCUAUUGUUGAUAAUCUACCUUUUCGAACUCUGGAGGUUCAUUUUGUUAUAUCCACAGAUGGUGCUUGGCGAUCUAUAACUCACAAGGGAGGUUGUGGUGUUGUGAUCGGGGACCAUGAGGGCAGGUUUAUUAUAGCUAAAAGCAAGCCUGGGACUAGUGCUUCUGCUGCAGCUAUGGAAGCUGAAGCUUUGCGUGAUGGAAUUCUUCUUGCCCACGUGUUAGAUCUUCCUGCUUUAGUUGUUUUAAGUGACGGUCAAUCUAUCAUUAGGGGCUUGACUUGUAAUAUCUCUUCCCUCGACUGGACAACGAGAGUAAUAGUUGAGGACAUCAUGUCUUUGUUGUCUUUCUUUAGUUUUGUUGGUUUUCAUUUUUCUCCCCGGUCAAACAACUGGGAAGCUCAUAAUUUAACCUAGGGUGCUUCUUUGUUAGGAAUCUCCUAGGUCUGGUGGCUCAAUCCGCCAAUUUGUCUUGUAAAUAACUGUUCUCCUGGAAGGACUUUGUCCUCUCUUGAUUUUCUCUAA